RNAcentral lists this non-coding RNA (30 nucleotides) under Mus musculus (house mouse). The record is from RNAcentral. Lineage: Eukaryota; Metazoa; Chordata; Mammalia; Rodentia; Muridae.
UUUAAAUAGGCCUGCCCAGGAGGUGCUGGU